AGUGAACGCUGGCGGUAGGCCUAACACAUGCAAGUCGAACGGCAGCACAGGAGAGCUUGCUCUCUGGGUGGCGAGUGGCGGACGGGUGAGGAAUACAUCGGAAUCUACCUUUUCGUGGGGGAUAACGUAGGGAAACUUACGCUAAUACCGCAUAAGGACCUUCGGGUGAAAGCAGGGGACCUUCGGGCCUUGCGCGGAUAGAUGAGCCGAUGUCGGAUUAGCUUGUUGGCGGGUAAAAGCCCACCAAGGCGACGAUCCGUAGCUGGUCUGAGAGGAUGAUCAGCCACACUGGAACUGAGACACGGUCCAGACUCCUACGGGAGGCAGCAGUGGGGAAUAUUGGACAAUGGGCGCAAGCCUGAUCCAGCCAUACCGCGUGGGUGAAGAAGGCCUUCGGGUUGUAAAGCCCUUUUGUUGGGAAAGAAAACUUGCGGGCUAAUACCCAGCAAGUCUGACGGUACCCAAAGAAUAAGCACCGGCUAACUUCGUG
RNAcentral lists this ribosomal RNA (490 nucleotides) under uncultured bacterium. Its description in RNAcentral is "bacterial SSU rRNA". It matches the Rfam family "Bacterial small subunit ribosomal RNA", at positions 29 to 507 of the family's 1533-position model. The record is from RNAcentral.